ACUCCUACGGGAGGCAGCAGUGGGAAUAUUGGACAAUGGGCGCAAGCCUGAUCCAGCCAUGCCGCGUGAGUGAUGAAGGCCCUAGGGUUGUAAAGCUCUUUCGGCGGGGACGAUAAUGACGGUACCCACAGAAGAAGCACCGGCUAACUCCGUGCCAGCAGCCGCGGUAAUACGGAGGGUGCGAGCGUUAAUCGGAAUUACUGGGCGUAAAGCGCGCGUAGGCGGCAAGCUAAGUCUGAUGUGAAAGCCCUGGGCUUAACCUGGGAAUGGCAUUGGAUACUGGCUAGCUCGAGUGUGUUAGAGGGUGGCGGAAUUCCAGGUGUAGCGGUGAAAUGCGUANAGAUCUGAAGGAAUACCAGUGGCGAAGGCGGCCCCCUGGACAAAGACUGACGCUCAGAUGCGAAAGCGUGGGGAGNAAACAGGAUUAGAUACCCUGGUAGACUGUC
Molecule: ribosomal RNA, 446 nt
Filed under: uncultured bacterium
Lineage: Bacteria
Description: bacterial SSU rRNA
Rfam family: Bacterial small subunit ribosomal RNA
Source: RNAcentral